Molecule: non-coding RNA, 84 nt
Filed under: unclassified sequences
Description: L31-Actinobacteria ribosomal protein leader
Rfam family: L31-Actinobacteria ribosomal protein leader
Source: RNAcentral
CCGGUUCCGGUUCACGCCUGAGCCCGUCCGCCGUACGCCCUGCGGGGCGGCGGUGGGGACGAGCCGGAUGGCGACCCGGCGACC